CAGCAUACAGGGAGCUGAAACCCCGUGCGGUAGCUAU
RNAcentral lists this non-coding RNA (37 nucleotides) under Aeromonas salmonicida. RNAcentral's name for it is "JUMPstart". It matches the Rfam family "JUMPstart RNA". RNAcentral also lists the same sequence under 1 other name. Lineage: Bacteria; Pseudomonadati; Pseudomonadota; Gammaproteobacteria; Aeromonadales; Aeromonadaceae. The record is from RNAcentral.